UCUAAAUGACAAUAAUAAAAUUAACUUCUUCAAAGCAGACAACUUUAUCAUUAGAUUGCUUCCUAGUUUAGACAUCAGCGAAUGUUAGUUAGAUUGCUUCUUAGUUUAGACAUCAGCGAAUCUUUAUCAUUAGAAUGAGUCCUAGUUUAGACAUCAGCGAUUGCUUCCUAGUUUAGACAUCAGCGAAUGUUAGUUAGAUUGCUUCUUAGUUUAGACAUCAGCGAAUCUUUAUCAUUAGAAUGAGUCCUAGUUUAGACAUCAGCGAAUGUUAGGCAGAAGGUCAACCAAUCCUUCACUGUUUAAAUUUGGUUAUAAUGUUACCACUAUCAAAUGUAGGCGAAGUGUAAAGUCCAGCAAAGUGGCAACAUUGUGGUAAUUAAGACUAGAUCUUUAUUUACAAACAUAUGUGACUUAUGAAAACUGCAAAAUCAUUCAUUGCAAAGUAUACGGAUAAAAUAAUUUUAAAACUAACCAAACUAUAAAAAUGACUGACA
Ciona intestinalis (vase tunicate) is the source of this 494-nucleotide non-coding RNA. NCBI's taxonomy places the organism in Eukaryota, Metazoa, Chordata, Ascidiacea, Phlebobranchia, Cionidae. The record is from RefSeq and is a predicted model, not a curated record.